UAGAGUUAGGGUACUAUGGUUAAGCUGCGGUUGGACUUGAUGAUCUUCAAGGUCUUUUCCAACCUGGGUAAUUCUAUGAUUCUAUGAGUAUUUAAAAGGCUUGGAAGCCACUGCAGCUGGCAACACUUUACCUCUAAUUUACUCAGUGUCCAGUAUAUGAUUGCUCUUCUUCAUAAACAUCUAUUGUGCUGUGCAAAUGUGAGGCCUGUAUGUAUAAAGAUGAAGCCUCUUUGCAUUAAGGAGAUGCUGCAGGCACAUAUGGGUAAAGAACAUUACAUUUCAGGCUGCAGGUUAAGUGAGAUGGAAAACACACGGUUAACACGCAGCCAAACGGGACUAAUUGUCCAAGCCUGAUGCUCCCUCUAGGGGAAGGAAAGAAGCUGACACCUAAAAAAGAAGGAAUUUUCCCUCCAGCUGUUCUCAUUUAUGGACCCCUCCUUUCCAACAGAGGUGCAGACUCCCACAUGACACACUCUGGACUGCAGGAUAGUUGUACCACUCUGAUGCUGAGCACAGGUGAAGAACCAAGCAGGGUCUCCUCCUCAAGCCUUACCUGUGUGCCCCUUAAAUGUCGUCACCAGGCUGCAGGACUCUUGCUCUAAUUUGAGUAUGGUUACUUGCCCAGAAUGAUCGCCAACAAACACGUGCCGGGUUUCCACAUCAAAUCUGAUGGAUAAAUGCUGAGGAACAUACAUUGUUUACACAAGCUAUGCAUUACUUUCAGUGACUUGUUCAUUCUUUUAACAUGAGUGUGCUACAACCUUGUGAAUAGUGCUCCAGUCCCAAGAAGGUAAACAGAGCAUAUUUUUAGGUAUUAAACUCAUAGUUGUUCAUACCAAUAAUGCAGUCUCCCUGAGAUAAAGCAAAGUUACACAACCUUGCAAUAAGCUCUUUCCCCGUAUUGUUUAAAACAACUGUUUUCAACCUCUUCAUUACAUUUAGGUACACGAAUGCAAGUCCCCUCUUUUCUCAGAACACCAGCC
Non-coding RNA from Coturnix japonica (Japanese quail), 983 nucleotides. Lineage: Eukaryota; Metazoa; Chordata; Aves; Galliformes; Phasianidae. The record is from RefSeq and is a predicted model, not a curated record.